AGACAGGGAGACAGGUGGUGCAUGGUUGUCGUCAGCUCGUGUCGUGAGAUGUUGGGUUAAGUCCCGCAACGAGCGCAACCCCUACGUUUAGUUGCUAACGCGUGAAGGCGAGCACUCUAGACGAACUGCCGUUGACAAACGGAGGAAGUGGGGAUGACGUCAAAUCAUCAUGCCCCUUAUGUUCCGGGCUACACACGUGCUACAAUGGCCGGUACAGACGGACGCAAAGCCGCGAGGCGGAGCAAAUCCGAAAAAGCCGGUCUCAGUUCGGAUUGCAGGCUGCAAUUCGCCUGCAUGAAGUCGGAAUCGCUAGUAAUCGCAGGUCAGCAUACUGCGGUGAAUACCGGUUCCCGGGCCUU
Molecule: ribosomal RNA, 359 nt
Filed under: uncultured Pelotomaculum sp.
Lineage: Bacteria; Bacillati; Bacillota; Clostridia; Eubacteriales; Desulfotomaculaceae
Description: bacterial SSU rRNA
Rfam family: Bacterial small subunit ribosomal RNA
Source: RNAcentral